CAGGCCUCCCCCUCGGGCGUAGCUCUCAGAGGCGGAGGCGUCCGGCCCCACACUUGGUGCCAACAAGAUCCCACAGCUAUGGGCCCGGACAGACGUGGGACAGAGAGACUGGCCAACUGGGGUGAGCACAGAGGUGCACAGGCGAAUGCCCGGCACCCGAGGACAGGUCCAGGGAACCGGUCCCCUUCAUGGAUCAUAUCACACCUCUGGCUGGGGGACCCCUGACUCCCCCCCGUCCCUAAGAUCAAGCCACAUCUGCUCAACAGCCCGGCGAGGCCACCCCCCAGCCGCGUCUGGCCCACGGUUAAGGCCAGCAAAUCAAGGCUGGAAGAAUGCUUGCGGAAGAAAGGAAACUAAACAGCGUGAUUUUUUUCCUUGCGACUUGGAUUUGAGGGGGAGAUCCAAGGUUCACAGUGCCAGGGCCAGAGUCCCCAGGAAUGGCAGAAAGGCCCAGCAGACUCGAGGCUCCCAUGGGAUACAGGCCAGGCCCUCAAGGCCCAGCCAGCAGCUGCAGAACUGUCUGCCCUGCACACCUGCCAGGACACAGCCAGAGCACAAACAAAAGUCCAGGGAACGUGUGGCCACAGGCUCUCUGUGUCCGAUGGCAACUGUCGGGGAUGCGGUGGAGAUGCACCAGCUGGAGAGGAGCUGAGCCUUCCCUGGGGGACAAGCAGGUGUGCUGUCGGAACGCGCCCUUCCCGCCCCUAAGCAGAAAGGGCACUGCCAACCUUUGGGAGGGAGUCCACAGACCACAAGCACAAAGCCAGCCCAUCGGAGCGCCCAGGCCACGCUGGACAGGGCUGGGCCCCGGAAGCUGGGAUGAGCGGAAGGUACCACCUCUGCAUGGGGGGGGCACCGAGCCCAGGCUGAGGAGGGGGUUCCGGCUCCAACAGUGGGGCCUCUGCUGUUCCAGAAUGUUUCAAACUGACCCGUGGAACUGAACUGUCUCGUUUCCCUGACCAAGGGCUCAUGAUCCGCACACCCCAAGAUGCACUGUGGUUCCCUAGGGAGGGGGGCGGGUCCCCAAGUCAGCGUGGCCGCAUCCCCUGGGGGGGAGCAGGAGCCUGCACGGACUUGCGGGUCGCCUGCGCCCCCUUCUGGCCUCGAGGCAGGCCCUGUGGAGCCUGAGGCGGAGCAGAACAGACAGCAGCGCAGGGGUGACGGGAUGUGGCCUUCUCCCUCCUGAGACCUCUGACCACAGGGCAGGCACCGGAGGCCCUGCCGUGGAAGCCUGACCAGGCUCGUCUGGCCCUGACUCUGAAUGGUGAGGGGACCGCCCCCCGCCCCCGCUCCCGGUCCCCUAGCAGAGCAGGGACCUGGCAGCCAGCACCGGCCGGAGACCAGCGGAGCCGGCACCCUGGGCCGCCACCCCCACCUCCUGCUUGGUAACAGCCUGUAAUCAGCCGGCCUGGCUCCGGUGAUGCCGCCCAGGCCGCAAUCCUACCCGGGCGCAGAGGUCUGGGAAUGCUCUGGAAUGCCCGGAGCGCCAGGACCCGAGGGCAGAUUCCGGGCUGCUCCCGCGCUCACAGACCUCAUUAAUUAUCCUGCCGGGACGGGGAGGCAGGCACGGCCCCAGGAAUCCUGAACAUGGGCAGCCGGCCUUCCCUGGCAUUUGUCCCCAAACAGCUCUAGCUCUGACGGCAGGGGCUCAGCAGGCAGGUGCGGAGGUAGGGUAGACACCAGGCUGGGACACCCGACCCAGAGGCCAGGAAGCAGCCAGGGGCUCUGAGCUCACAGGGCCCACUGCCCAGGCCCCCCGCUCCACCAGGUCUCAGGGCACUGCCAGGCUCGGGGACAGGGACCAGGCAGCGCCCUGAGACCCAGCAGGAUCCAAUGCUGGGGAUGGGGGCACAACCAGUCCCUGAACGGCUCCUGAGCGCAGGAUUGCCCUGGGCACCCCAGAACCAGAACCCACAGCUCAGUCCAGCAACUACUACGCGUAUUGACUCAUUGAGGUGCCAGGGCGCUACGGGGUGAGAGGUGAGCACCAGGGGGAAGGAGCAGGUUAUUGAUGAGAAGGGGCCCCCAGUGGGGGUGUUGGCAGUGGUCCUGGGUACCCCGAGGGGCCUCAGAAGGCAGCCCCUUUCGCCAGAGCAGGACGGUGUGUCCCCACGAGGCUGGCAGGAGGGCACAGAAGGCUUCAUGCUGAGUUCCCUCCCACACCCCACUCUGGGGCAGGGGCCCAGCAGCUGCACUGUGAGGGUCUCUCUCCAGUGCCCAGGCCAAGAGCCUCCCAAGUCCUGGGACCCCUCCCACAUGGCACUCCCCUCCCCAGCCUCCUCAAGCCCCCUCUGCUGCCCCCGUGCCCACCCUUGACACGGGCCCUUCAGCCCCUCCUGGUGUGGGUGCCCGCCCGGGUCACCACGCAGGGCUGGGAGCACUUAUCCAGGCCUCCAGCGGGGCUUCUCUGCUCCUCUCCCCUGCGGAGAAAGCCUGAGCCGGGGAGGGUGCAGGGGGUGCGAGGUCUCAGGGCCGGCACCCCCGCCCCACUCAGCCUGGCCAGGCGGGCCUGCGCCCAGAAUAGAAAGCGCCCAGCCACCCACCACAGCCGGCCAGGGGCUGGGAAACCAGGCACCACUGCUCCCUGGCGAGUGGGCAGCUUCCUGGCUUCACCAGCCCCGCGGCUGCCAGGAGAGGUCAGCCAGAGGCCCGGGCAUGGCCCUCUACCCCAGACACACCCAGGGAGCUCCUGUCCCAGCACGGCGAUGAUCUGGGACCUGUGCAGGGCACCUGGGCUGCACAGAUCCCCCCGGGCACCAUCCAGGCCCACCCACCCCAGCGGGGGCCUCCGGGUGCACCCAGAGGCCAUCGGCCAGCACUGAGCCCACCAUGGACCUCAGCAACUCCGCAAGAGCCAGGGCUCAGGGGCCUCAUCUGUAAAAUGGGACAAGCACCCAGCCCACCCAGGAUGCACCUAGGACACGCCCAGGACUGCCCAUGCAGCCCAGAGAAGGGCACUUCACUGGAAGAGUCUGGGACGGCUUCCUGGGGUGUGGACAGGGCAGCGUGACCAAGGCGGGGGGUCGGGGGGCAGACAGCACAUUCACAGGGUCCUUUCAGGAGACCACCCAGGAGGACGAGCAGGGCUGUGGCCUGGGCAGCCCCAGGGAGGCUCUGAGGCCUGUCCUCCUGCGCAGACCCAGCCUGCAUCCUGCCGGGACAGCGGCCCCGCAGGGACAGCGGCACUUGAGAGGCCCCCUCACCAAAAGUCCAGCCUGGAGGCAUGGAGGCAGGUGGGGGAAUUCGCAGACCCCCACUCCCCGGAGGGCCUGUCGCUACAGGGGGAUCCUGCUGUAAUUAUGUCAUUAGAAGACCACCCGGUCUCGGAAGCCAGCCCUGGGAGGGGCCCAGCCCCAUUGUGCACGGAGCAGGCCUGGAAGACACAGUUGCCCUGAAAGACAGAGGCCCUUUGUGGGUGUGGGGGGGCAAACCUGGUGGUUAACCGAUUCAGGGAGCCCACACGAACCCCCCUCCCCGAGUCAGCCGCUUUGAAGGCGCUGGGAGCCGGCGUGCAGGGGGAGAGGGGUCCCCAGGCUGUCCUGCCCUCUGCAGUCCCGCUGCCCUGGAGGGACGUGACCCCAAGGCCAGGCCAAAGGGUCAGGCCACCCACCUCCUCCACUCAGCCCAGCAGCGCCCCCACCAGGCAGAGACAGCCCCCGCUACAGGCCGAGGAGGCCCUGCAGGCCCAGCGCCAGCCCCUGCAGGGGCUUCUGGAGAUUGCGGGAACUGUCCUCAAAGGAGGCCUUCUAAAUCGAGUUUGUGCAGAGGAGCCAAAGGCCACAUCGCCCACCGGGCUGGGGCAGGGCCCAGCAAGGGGCCUGGCGGGGCGUUGGCUCUGCACCCCCCUCAGGGAAAGGAGGCCUGGCCACAGCCAAUGCCCGGGAGCUCAGCAGUGUCUGGACUGCCGGCCAGGGGUCAGACUCCCACCCUCAGACCCAGGGGUGGGAGGGCAGCCUGGGAGGGCUGCUUCCUCUCCAUUCAUCAAUUAUCCCCGUUUAGAAACAAAGUCACCCUUGAGCCA
Molecule: long non-coding RNA, 4021 nt
Filed under: Sus scrofa (pig)
Lineage: Eukaryota; Metazoa; Chordata; Mammalia; Artiodactyla; Suidae
Description: lncRNA (ENSSSCG00045026788.1)
Source: RNAcentral